GUGAAAUACAGUAUAUGCUGCAUGUGGCCAUGUAAAUGAAUGUAUCAACUACUGCAACAUCCUGUUGGUGCUCCAGCCUUCCCACCUGAGCCAAGGAACUCGCAAUACACCGCUAUGGUGAUUUUGUCCCUGUUGCUCAAAGCACAGCCAUAAGAUGCCCAGGGAAAGGCAAGUUGCUUGAACCAUGGGGUGGAAGUGUUUUGUGGAAACAGCACCCAGCAGGAGGGCUGGGGCAGCUGCCAGCAGCCCUGAGAGGGGUUCACUCAGCUGUGUGGCCUGACCCAGGUGGGUGUGCAGGAUGGGAUCUCUUGCUUAAACGUCCCAAGGUAUCUUGGGGAGGGGGUGAUGUGAUGGGUCGGGAUGACCCAGCCCAUCUGAGGCUGUCACACUGCUGUGCUACCAGGGAUUAAGAAGGCUCUCUGUUAAUUAACAGGUAAUGAAGCACUUUGGAGACGAGGAGUAUGCGCUCUGCAAGACAAGAGAAAGAGCUGUGUUCCAGUGGCCUGCCACGCCAGGAGUUGCACAGCUUUUGGACACAUGCUGGCUUAGUGAAGCCUGCCAGGGAGAUGGGCUGUGCAAAGCCUUCUGAUGGCCUGGUGGAGGAUAACAGCUACAGGAGAGGAGCAGUGCCUGGACAGAAAGCUGAGUUGCUGCAUCUGGCCUCAGCCAGGCCCAGAGCCCCCGGAGCCCACAGGGGCCUUCGUUGCUCAAAUGGGAUUGUGAACAAGGCCUGGAGUGCCAGAGGAGUGACUGCACUGAGGAGGCUGACAGGUUUUCAGGUUUCCUUCUCUGACCUGCUGCUGUGUCCUGUGACUGUAACAACAGAUAGAAAGGUCUCAAACCAUUUCAUGGGGCUGGAGGGGGCAGUCUGGCCAAGAAAAACAUACAUUUCUUCCCACAGCAGAAACCGCCAGCCUCUGAGAUGGGCUCUUCUGGCUCACUCUGGUGCUGUUCUUCAAGGCAAGUGUUACAUCUGCUCUGUGCCACCAGCAUGUUUGCAGGGAGCUGGGGCAGCUGUGGCCUCUGGGAAGAGAGGGCACCCAUCCUCAGCGUGCAGCAGAGAGCAGUACAACAGUAUGUGAGUCAGAACCUACAAGUCCAUCAUACCAGGCACACUGCAAACUGCCCUAAGUGUCUCAUAGUAGAUUUUGUUCAGAUCAAGCUCAGAUAAUUCAGUCAUAAGGAGUCUUCCAUGCCCACCGUUCUAGGAUUUUCUGGCAUUUGACCCUCUUUAGUUAGUUUAUUUGAAAGGAAAAUACUGCUUAAAAACUAAAAACUGGAAACUUUUGACAAUCCCAGCAAUUUUCUCACUUUUUGACAAACUGCUCAAAUUGACUAAAUUCUCAAAUAUUUCUGUUGUCCUAAACAAUAUAUAUAUACACAUAUUUAUAUAUAUUUUUUCUGGAAGAUGAGCUAUAAAAAUCAUUUGCUAUUCUACUUUUCAAAAUAUUUCGCAUUUGUAUAAAUUCAGUUAAUAACUACACAGCAUUAAGGGAUAUGAUGUACUGCUCCCCAUUGAAAAUGGACACAGGUUAUCAUGUAACCCAGUUCAGAUCUUGUGCAUAUUGUAUGGCUGAGCACAGUGCUAUAGCAAGGAAAAUGAGUUUCUAUCCUGUUUACUGUUUGUGGCAUGGGACCAAGUUGUUUCUCUGAACUGAAGAACACUCCAGCAAACACUGUUUCUCAGUUUCAGAAUUUGACUAAACCCUAAUUCUGUUGCCAUCAAGAUUUAAACAAAUGGUGUAGAGAUACCUAAGGGAGCAAGUGAUUUUAUGUCUGCUAUAAGACAGUAUUAAAGAGUCAAAAUAGUCCAUUAGAAGCAGAUGUACCUGUACCUCCUUCUGGCCAGCUAUGAGUUCCACCUUUGAAGAACUAUUUCUGUUGUUUUUGAACCAAAGAAAGGAAUAAAACUAUUUCAAAAGGCCAUAAAGCCUGCUAAGAUGAAUGUGAGGGGCCCAGUAGAAUCAUUUUCCAGUUCAAUGUAGGUUUAUUAAAACUAUUUGGAGCAAGUAAAGCAGUUCAAGAGAGAGUGAUCCAGCAAAGUGUGGUGGGGCCUGAGAGUGGAAGCGUUUUUGUCUCAUCACUGAUCUCUAGCACCUUUCUUUUCUGGUCUCAUAUCUUGAUUUGUCUAAUUUGUAUAUUUAGACUGGGAACUCCAUAGCUGAAACUAUUCUGUCCUACAUAAGCAACAUGUGUAUUCAGUUUCGGGGGUAAUAAGAACAGGACUAUUUCUAUGGAAUACGUAUGUACAAGGGGAGACCUACUGAUUUUGAAAGCUUCUGGUGAAAAAUGCUUGUGUGAGCACAAAAGUUCAAAGCGAGGCUAUUAUUAUUCCAUUUCCAUAUGAAUGAUCUAAACAAUUUGUGUCUGGGUUUAAUAUGCAGCUACUAAAACCAGAGUUCGUAUUAUGGCCAGAUGGAAUAGGCAAAGGAUGUGAUAGCCACUGUGAAAUCUGGCUGCUUCUUGGUGAACCUCACUGGGUUAGGUCUCUCCUUCCACUUCUGAGCUACUUCUAUAGGAGGCUGAGGAAGAUGUGGUGGGGGCUUCCCCUGUGCCCAUCUGCAUAGUCAGUGCCAGUAACAAUGCUGUUACACAUUCUUGUCUCAGGUACCCAGAUACACUUGUAGCUUCAAUUUGAACUAAAAAGAGGUGAACGAUAAGCCAACAUUCCUCCUCACCUGUCCUGCAGAAAAGCCCUGGGAUACAGCUUAGCCUGAAGCUUUCACUAGCACAACCCAAAACCUCCUGAGUAGAGUUCGAAGAACAAAAGCCUCCUUGUGCACAGCUGAUACUCUUCCACCUGUCCUGCCCCAUGGAGCCAGAACAAGGCAAUAGAAGUCUCAAGAAAGACUUUCUUACCAUCAGCUGUUCAAAACAUCUGUAACCUAGCAGUGUACUUUCUUUAUUAUUGUUCUUUAUUUCAGAAAGUGCAUUUUUUUCACAUUUUUCAUACUGCUGUCCAUACAAUAAUUUGGAAACUAGAGCAGGUAGAACAGCUUUUUAAACAAAACCUCUCAUUUUGUCAAGAAUGCAGCUUUAUACAAAUAAAGUAGAUUAAGA
Molecule: long non-coding RNA, 3060 nt
Filed under: Cairina moschata (Muscovy duck)
Lineage: Eukaryota; Metazoa; Chordata; Aves; Anseriformes; Anatidae
Description: domestica (muscovy Duck (domestic type)) lncRNA (ENSCMMG00000014497.1)
Source: RNAcentral